This 152-nucleotide non-coding RNA is filed under the name Pan paniscus (pygmy chimpanzee). The record is from Rfam by way of RNAcentral. Lineage: Eukaryota; Metazoa; Chordata; Mammalia; Primates; Hominidae. RNAcentral also lists the same sequence under 1 other name.
GCUGGGCGUGGUGGCGCACGCCUGUAAUCCCAGCUACUCUGGAGGCUGAGGCAUGAGAAUCGCUUGAACCCGGGAGGCAGAUGGUGAUUGCAGUGAGCGGAGAUCACGCCAUUGCACUCCAUCCUGGGUGACAGAGUGAUACUCCGUCUCAA